ACUUUCUCGGGGGCUCUUUCUGUGCUUUUGGAGCACUGGGUUUGAGGGUCUCUUGCCCUUUGUUGUGCCCCAAUUUGGGUUUUGACUGGGGCUGGGUUUGAACCUGCCAUGCCCGAUAUAUGGUGCCGGAGCCCUACUUCUUGAGCCACAGGAACCACCCAGGAGUAAGGGGAGAAAGAGCGCUUUGGGGAAGCACUUCGUCUACGUGACAACUGCGUGAGUCGGCUGGACCGGCGUAAGGAAACUGCGUCGCCUACACUCAUACCCUGUUAACGAUCUUUUAACUUGCUGAGGCGGAG
Molecule: long non-coding RNA, 299 nt
Organism: Nycticebus coucang (slow loris)
Lineage: Eukaryota; Metazoa; Chordata; Mammalia; Primates; Lorisidae
Exons: 3
Source: RefSeq, a predicted model, not a curated record